AUUGAACGCUGGCGGCAUGCCUUACACAUGCAAGUCGAACGGCAGCACGGGAGCUUGCUCCUGGUGGCGAGUGGCGAACGGGUGAGUAAUGCAUCGGAACGUGCCCUGAAGUGGGGGAUAACGUAGCGAAAGUUACGCUAAUACCGCAUAUUCUGUGAGCAGGAAAGCAGGGGAUCUUCGGACCUUGCGUUUUCGGAGCGGCCGAUAUCGGAUUAGCUAGUAGGUGAGGUAAAGGCUCACCUAGGCGACGAUCCGUAGCUGGUCUGAGAGGACGACCAGCCACACUGGAACUGAGACACGGUCCAGACUCCUACGGGAGGCAGCAGUGGGGAAUUUUGGACAAUGGGCGCAAGCCUGAUCCAGCCAUGCCGCGUGAGUGAAGAAGGCCUGGUU
RNAcentral lists this ribosomal RNA (393 nucleotides) under uncultured bacterium. RNAcentral's name for it is "bacterial SSU rRNA". It matches the Rfam family "Bacterial small subunit ribosomal RNA", at positions 30 to 424 of the family's 1533-position model. The record is from RNAcentral.